This 459-nucleotide ribosomal RNA is filed under the name uncultured bacterium. RNAcentral describes it as "bacterial SSU rRNA". It matches the Rfam family "Bacterial small subunit ribosomal RNA", at positions 15 to 518 of the family's 1533-position model. The record is from RNAcentral.
GAUUCUGGCUCAGAAUGAACGCUGGCGGCAUGCCUAACACAUGCAAGUCGAACGAAGGCUUCGGCCUUAGUGGCGCACGGGUGCGUAACGCGUGGGAAUCUGCCCCUUGGUUCGGAAUAACAGUUAGAAAUGACUGCUAAUACCGGAUGAUGACGUAAGUCCAAAGAUUUAUCGCCGAGGGAUGAGCCCGCGUAGGAUUAGCUAGUUGGUGUGGUAAGAGCGCACCAAGGCGACGAUCCUUAGCUGGUCUGAGAGGAUGAUCAGCCACACUGGGACUGAGACACGGCCCAGACUCCUACGGGAGGCAGCAGUGGGGAAUAUUGGACAAUGGGCGAAAGCCUGAUCCAAGCAAUGCCGCGUGAGUGAUGAAGGCCUUAGGGUUGUAAAGCUCUUUUACCCGGGAUGAUUAAUGACAGUACCGGGAGAAUAAGCUCCGGCUAACUCCGUGCCAGCAGCCGC